Molecule: ribosomal RNA, 371 nt
Filed under: Salmonella enterica subsp. enterica serovar Braenderup
Lineage: Bacteria; Pseudomonadati; Pseudomonadota; Gammaproteobacteria; Enterobacterales; Enterobacteriaceae
Description: bacterial SSU rRNA
Rfam family: Bacterial small subunit ribosomal RNA
Source: RNAcentral
GACAAAGACUGACGCUCAGGUGCGAAAGCGUGGGGAGCAAACAGGAUUAGAUACCCUGGUAGUCCACGCCGUAAACGAUGUCUACUUGGAGGUUGUGCCCUUGAGGCGUGGCUUCCGGAGCUAACGCGUUAAGUAGACCGCCUGGGGAGUACGGCCGCAAGGUUAAAACUCAAAUGAAUUGACGGGGGCCCGCACAAGCGGUGGAGCAUGUGGUUUAAUUCGAUGCAACGCGAAGAACCUUACCUGGUCUUGACAUCCACAGAACUUUCCAGAGAUGGAUUGGUGCCUUCGGGAACUGUGAGACAGGUGCUGCAUGGCUGUCGUCAGCUCGUGUUGUGAAAUGUUGGGUUAAGUCCCGCAACGAGCGCAAC